AGGUGCGCUUGCAUGGCAGGUCAUCGAAAAAAAAUAAAAUAGUAUUAUUUUGGUUUUGAGGAAGAGACCGCACGGGAUUUGCCCGGGGUUUCUUCCUCGCUGGUGUGUGUUUUCUUCUCGUUCUCUCUUACUCUCAGUUCGUCUCUACAUCUUCAACCGCCAUCAACUGCUUCUCGGAUUUACCUGAUUUCCCGCCGUUUAUGCCAAGGUAUUUUCUGACGAUUCUCUUACACUUUUACCCAACCAUAAGAGAGGAUGAAAAAUAAUUAUUCACACAUCUGCAUCCAUACUUAAAUCUGCUAACGUUCAUUCACACACACAACUGCAUCAAUACUUAAUAACGUGCUAAUUUAUUCACCCAAUUGCUCAUGUUUUCUUAUUUACAAUUAACGGGUGACGGUUUUGGUCUAAAAUCAAUCCUCAAAUUAUCGUCUCAAAUUGUACUAUUCUUCUCAAUAAUCUGAGACUUGGUGUCACAAUUUCUUCGAAACAUUCCAUAACGUACUAUAGUCCUGGUCCUUAUAUUUUUGACAUAUUUGUCAGUGCUCUAUGCAAUAAUAAGUGAUUUUUACCAGUUUUUCAAGCGUACAAAUUAAUAUUUUUAAUACUAUCGAUUAAACUAAAUUUUGGUGUUUAUCAAUCUUUACCAACUAAUUUUGUCAAGAAUCGACCUUCUUUUGAAUUUUUUUUAUCGGUGGCAAUGUCUUUUAAAAAAAGAAUGGUUCUAAAGUUCAGUACAUAACUACAUUAAUUGAAGUUUAUCCCAAUAGCGAAAUUAUGUUCUAUAUUCCUUUCAAUAACUGUUCGGGAGCGCGCCCAUUAGCGACUACCUGCGUGAAAGUAUUGUACUUUCCAAAUUCUAUUAUAACUUUUAGCUUGCAAUUUGAGGCAUUGUGUUCAUUAUUUCGCUGCUCGAUGUUUAUUUAUGUUUCAUUUCUUUUUCUUGCCAGAGUGUGAUUUUUAUUUUGAUUAUUAAGAACAUUUUGUUGUGGAAGUCUAGGUCUGUAUUUUGCGGGCUUCCCGUUGAUUGGAAGUCUUGUAAGAUUUUUCAGUAGUGAAGUACGUACGUCGGAACUUAUAUUUGUCUUUAGUUAAGCUUUCCUAGAUUAUUAUUAUUAGUAGAUUGGGAUGAUUUCCUCACUGCUUGCUCGAUAGCCAAGAUGCGUUGCUGAAUGUCAAGCAAUUUUGCUAUGGAGAAUGAUCAUUGCUCAUGGGUGGAAGGAAGAUGGAAACUGGAAGGAGCCACAGCUCGUGUCUAACAUGUCUUUGAGAAAUGGAAGGUCUAUAAUACUUUCGAACUUUUAAUUUCUUCUGAAUUGAGCAUGAUUGAUGCCUAUACUUUAUCACCAAUGAAAUCUCCGAGUAUGGUUAUGUUUUUUUAUUAUGUAGGUGUGACUAUGGAGAACUCCUCUGUUUUGUAGGGAUGUAGUGCAAUAGUACAUUGAUUCUUUUUAGAGAUUUGGUUUAUGGAGUUUCGGAGUAUCUUGUUUUGUUUGUCUGGUCUUGAUCAUGUUAGAUCUUUGUUGAUUUAUUAUGAAGCCGUGUUACUGAUUUUAAGGUGGGUCUUCAUUUGGUUUGUAUUAAUCUCUAAUGCGGUUCUAAUAUGCAUGACUACUUGGUUUCUUAAGUUUUGUGCGACUUGUUAACUUUAAAAGAUGGUUGAAAAACAAUUUU
RNAcentral lists this unclassified non-coding RNA (1674 nucleotides) under Hevea brasiliensis (rubber tree). The record is from RNAcentral. Lineage: Eukaryota; Viridiplantae; Streptophyta; Magnoliopsida; Malpighiales; Euphorbiaceae.